CGCCCAGACUCCUACGGGAGGCAGCAGUGGGGGAUAUUGCACAAUGGGGGGAACCCUGAUGCAGCGACGCCGCGUGAGUGAAGAAGUCUUUCGGUAUGUAAAGCUCUAUCAGCAGGGAAGAAAAUGACGGUACCUGACUAAGAAGCCCCGGCUAACUACGUGCCAGCAGCCGCGGUAAUACGUAGGGGGCAAGCGUUAUCCGGAUUUAUUGGGUUUAAAGGGUGCGCAGGCGGCGAGUUAAGUCAGCGGUAAAAUGUGGGGGCUCAACCCCGACAAGCCGUUGAAACUGGCUUGCUAGAGUGGGCGAGAAGUAUGCGGAAUGCGUGGUGUAGCGGUGAAAUGCAUAGAUAUCACGCAGAACUCCGAUUGCGAAGGCAGCAUACCGGCGCCCAACUGACGCUCAGGCACGAAAGCGUGGGUAUCGAACAGGAUUAGAUACCCGGGUAUA
This 448-nucleotide ribosomal RNA is filed under the name uncultured bacterium. RNAcentral describes it as "bacterial SSU rRNA". It matches the Rfam family "Bacterial small subunit ribosomal RNA", at positions 328 to 794 of the family's 1533-position model. The record is from RNAcentral.